Molecule: ribosomal RNA, 49 nt
Filed under: Anethum foeniculum (fennel)
Lineage: Eukaryota; Viridiplantae; Streptophyta; Magnoliopsida; Apiales; Apiaceae
Description: partial 28S ribosomal RNA
Source: RNAcentral
CUGUGACCCCUGGUCAGGCGGGACUACCCGCUGAGUUUAAUCAUAUCAA